CCAUGGGGACCCGGCCUGAGGAGCAGGGCGGCCGGAAAGGACCCCAGUCAUAUUGGACUAGAGCCCACCCAUUUGACCUCAUUUGACCUGAGUUACCUAUUUAAGGGCCUUAUCUCCAAAUACAGUCAUAUUACGAGGUAUUGGGGGUUAAGACUUCCACAUAUUAACUUGAGCAGGACACAAUUCAGCUGAUAAUAGAAGAAGGCAGUGGGAAGUGGACAGAAGACCUGAUAGGAAAGAUAAAAAGAAGAGGAAAAGGAAAAUAAAAGUUUCCAGUUUGGGGCUUCCCUGGUGGUGCAGUGGUUGAGAAUCUGCCUGGGAACAUCCCACAUGCCGCGGAGCAACUAGGCCCGUGAGCCACAAUUGCUGAGCCUGCGCGUCUGGAGUCUGUGCUCCACAACAAGAGAGGCCCCGAUAAUGAGAGGCCCGCGCACCGAGAUGAAGAGUGGCCCCCACUUGCCGCAACAAGAGAAAGUCCUUGUACAGAAACGAAGACCCAACACAGCCAAAAAUAAAUAAAUAAAUAAAUAAAUAAAUAAAUAAAUAAAUAAAUAAAUAAAAAGUUUCCAGUUUGACAAUCAAGCUGUCUUCUGCAUCCAUUUCAUCCCAAGACCACCAAGCCAGUGUGGAGGCUUUUUCCUCCUUUCCUUUUCGUGAGACUGAUCACAACCAGCACUGCAGAGUCCAUUAAAUUAAGAAAUGCUGUUGCAUACAUGUGUGAAUGAGCUGUGAGUAAAGUACUGGAGUAGAGGACACCUAACUUGAAACGUCCUCAUGAAUGUCCAUGUGGCUGAGCAGGAAGUUAACCUGUCACAGAUGUGCUAAAUCAGAAGAGUUGGGCUUUAUUUUAUUUACUUUUCCCUGGACUCUGUUGAAUGACUGUCAUCUACAAGUUCAGGCUACUUUUUGCUGACGAUUAAUGCACUGGGAGAGCUGAGAGAAAACUGAAUAGUAGAGCUAUCUUUUUCUUGACCAGUUCACCUUACUUUCCCAAACUCAAAGUCUUUCCCUAUUUCUUUCUCCUUUUUAUUGUAGUAAAAUGAACAUAACAUAAAAUUCACCAUUUUGAUCACUUUACAAUUCACUGUACAAUUCAGUGGAAUUUAGUACUGUCACAAUGCUGUGCAACUGUCACCACUGCCUAGUUGCAAAACAUUUUCAUCACCCCAAAAGGAAACCUACACCCAUUUUAAGCAGUCAUUCCCUAUUUCCCUCUCUUCCAAACCCCUGGCAACCACUAAUGUAUAAUAUUUUCCGUGUGUAUGGAUUUGCCACUGCUGGACAUUUCGUAUAAAUGGAACCAUACAAUAUGUGGCCUUUCGUGCCUGAUUUCUUUCACUUAGUUGCAUCCAUGAUGUAGCAUGUAUCAGUAAUCCAUUCACUUUUAUGGCUGAAUUCCCUGAUCCUGUUUUCUUCAUACUGUUUGAAUACAAACUUUAAAAUAUGUUGAGGGUGAAGCUCUGUUUUAAUGGCACAUCUAUUAGGCCAAUUCAUUUAAAGAAGGUGAAAAUGGAGAUAUUGUUGUGAAAUGAUAAU
Balaenoptera ricei (Rice's whale) is the source of this 1536-nucleotide long non-coding RNA. RefSeq lists it as uncharacterized. The transcript has 3 exons. The record is from RefSeq and is a predicted model, not a curated record. NCBI's taxonomy places the organism in Eukaryota, Metazoa, Chordata, Mammalia, Artiodactyla, Balaenopteridae.